This is a regulatory RNA element of Tessaracoccus flavescens, 61 nucleotides long. It matches the Rfam family "Actino-pnp RNA". The record is from Rfam. Lineage: Bacteria; Bacillati; Actinomycetota; Actinomycetes; Propionibacteriales; Propionibacteriaceae.
UCUGGUCCUCGGUAGUGGUCUUCGGGUGCAACGCCCCCGCGGAUCUCGAUCGAAGACCGGC